Long non-coding RNA from Alligator mississippiensis (American alligator), 634 nucleotides. RefSeq lists it as uncharacterized. NCBI's taxonomy places the organism in Eukaryota, Metazoa, Chordata, Crocodylia, Alligatoridae. The transcript is spliced from 2 exons. The record is from RefSeq and is a predicted model, not a curated record.
GCAUGGCUCUUAUAAAGCCCAGGAGCUGAGGCCAGAGGCAGUUCCCUGUCAGCAGCCAGAGAGGCAGGAGCUCUCUAAGCUAGGAUAUGGGAAGAAGCCUGACUGCAGGAGUUCAGAACAGAUAAACCUUAUCACUGCCAGUGAAAAGAAAACUUUGAAGGGAAAAAAAAAAAGAGAAGAAUGUUCUCCCAGGAUUACUAUGUUCUGCACAUCUUGUCUUUGCAACUUUUCUGUGUUCCUAUCUUUGGUGUGUAUGGAGUUGCUGUGAUAAAAGUUAUGAAGAAAGAAAACAGCUGUUAGAAACCUAGGGAGCUUUAUGCAAACCUGUUCUGCUCCCUACCCUCAGACAUCCUUCCAAAAUAACUGGCUCAAAUAUCCAAAAAUUCAGAGUUUAUAGUUGAAGAAUCAAAUAGACAUAACUCUACUUUUGCAGGAAAACUCAAUUGUUUGUACAAAAAUAGAAAUAUGGGAAGAGAAGCUGGUUGCAAACUUUUUAGGAUUUAUACUUUUUCCUUCUUGGCAUUCAGAAAUCAUAUACAGAAUGUGAUAUUAAAGGCCACAUAAAGUGAGUUUUACUGGCUUUUCAAAGAACUAAAAGUUAAUAUUGUUUUUUAAAUAAAAAGGAUAAAAUUGG